AGACGGAGGAGGAGCCUGAUCAGACACGGGGUUGAUGGUGCAUUCACUGACAGUCAGACUCCUCACUGCUUUGCUGGUUAUUUGUUCUAAAGGCCCUGUUUGCUGCAUCUGGACCUCGUUCAUUGACGUUUGUUCCGGAACAGCCGCCUUAAGCUCCUCCUCUUCCUGUCAGGUGUUUUCUUUGCAGCUGGAGCGCUGGGUGCAGCCCGUGCACCCCAGCGGCAGGCGGCGGGACACCUGCAGCUGCCACGAUUUACAGGUAUGCAAACGAACAGGUAAACUGACAGCUCGCUGUGUUCCAGGUGUGGUGAUGCGUUCAGGGUCGUGGCGGAUGAAUAAACGAACGUUAGCGAGGAAUCGUACAAGUCUGUAAAAUCUUCUUUAAAGUGAAUUCUGCAUAAAAUUGUGCAUCAGAAUAAGCAGGUGAUGUUAAAGAUAAUUAAUGCAUGCGUGUUUAAACACCUCUGAGGUGCAGUUCUGCUUUGUCCCUGCCACAGUCAGGACCCUGAAGGCAUCAGGUAUGGAAAAAAGUCAAGACAAACAGCAAACCUGAUGUUUGUUUGUGCUGUGAUGGGGGGGGGGGGGUCUGCACUGCUUCCUUAAGAUCUUAGAAAUCAGAUUUUGCGUCUUUUCUUUUUUGAUACAUUUAAAAAACUUUCAAAGACACAAGAACAUGUGAAAAAAAAACACGAUGCUUCACCGUCAGUCAUCUGGAGCCGAGCUGUGGCCCCCAAACGCCUGUCAGAUCCUCUUUGGGUCCUCAGACCCGGCAGGUCGGACCAUGCAGCCGCUUUGGCUUCAUUUACAGAACCAGCCUGUAAAACCUUCUGAACGUCUCUGUUCUUCAGCUCGGCUCUCAAACCGGGGCCACGGCGGAACCACAACCAAACCGGGGAUGAGGCGACAUCGGGGAACGGCAGGAAACGUCCAUGUUGGCGCCGUUACCGACCACACAGCUGACUCCGCCCAGCUCCUCGCUAAACGGCUAAAGAGGACCGGAGCUUCUUCAGCACCGAGUUCCGCCGUCGGACCGCCGACCUACCGUUCCUCAGCUCGUGCUUGACGGUGAACAGGUCACCCCCUUCUUCAGAGGACCCCUCCAUCGGGGAUGGCAUCGCGGUUACGUGUCGCUCAAGGGGGAUUCGCUUCCUCGGAGGUUCGCAGGGUUUUUCCGCGCGGGAUGAAAACGAAGGGAACGUCCAUGAAGGCCGGCCCGUCCGGCGGCGAGUUCGGCGGCGGAACGGGCUGGAGGAUGUCCCUGAAGCCCUUCCAGCGAACAGCCAGACCACUACCUCCGCGGUCAGACCGGCCCUCGCCGCUGAUUGGUGUUGCGAUGUUCAACUCUGACCUCUGAUUGGUUCUUCGCAUGGUGGCAACCAAUGGUGCCGCCUUCUUUGUGCUGCGUUCAAAUGCGCCUCGUCGGUUCUUUUUUUCUGAUAUUUUUAUUUCUAAAACGCUAAAAUAAUAAUUUUCUUAUUAAAAUGUUGAUGUGUUUUUAUCUGCUAUGUUAAAAAAAAUAAGAUAAGCCAAACAUAAAGUAUUUUACCCCCCCCCCCCACACACACACACACAAUCAACGGUAGAUUUAAAUCUAGAUAAAAAUGCCUGUAAGUUGUUUUACAAUACUGAUGAACCGAGCAGCAGUGAUCAGGCCCCGUUCUAUUAUAAGAGAAAACUGCUCGUCAGAACAUUUGUGAAAGCUAGUGUUUUUUUUCCCAUACAUUUUAUUUAUUGACAACAUAUGCUGCAAAGGUGAGAAUACAGCUCUGCCAAAAUGGGUUUUCUGUUCCAGCCACAAGUUUGUUUCUGCCUCAUGUUCUUAUCAACAGUUUCCACAAAUGAACCAGUUAUUCAAACAUUUAAACAAAAAGAGCCGUUAAUGUCAACAUAAGACAAUUAAACUUUAGUGUCAUAACAUGAAUGUCAAAUUGGACGACUUUGAAUGAAAGAUCUGUCUAAAUGGAUGCAGACUGCCCCCUUUGGUAGCUUCCAUGUACUGAAUGCAUGUUCCCAGUCGGGUUUAUUUUAAUGUCAAGUGGAAACUGUUUUUUUUGUUGUUGUUUUUUUUUUUACUUAUAACGGAUUCCUGCUAAAUUUAGAAAUGUGAGGAGGUUUCUGGAGAAGAAAAUAGAAGGUCAGAAGAAGCAGAUUUGUGUCUUUGUAGAUUUAGAGGAAGUCUAUGACGGGAUCCAGAGAGGAGCUGUGGUUUGGAUGAGGACGUCUGGAGUGACACAGAAGAACGAUGGAGAUCUUCAGGCCACGGAUGAGGGCUGGAAGACAGUGGUGAGAUGUUCUGUAGGGGUGACAGAGAUGGGGCUGCAUCAAAGGUCAGCUUGGAGCUCCUUCUUGUUUCCACUGUGAUGGACAGACUGACGGAUGAGGUUAGACAGGAAUCUAUGUGGACCAUCAUGUUUGCAGAUGAUACUGUGGAAAGGUUGGAAAGGUGGAGGAAAGUUUCAUGUGUGACCAAA
Non-coding RNA from Oryzias latipes (Japanese medaka), 2471 nucleotides. NCBI's taxonomy places the organism in Eukaryota, Metazoa, Chordata, Actinopteri, Beloniformes, Adrianichthyidae. The record is from RefSeq and is a predicted model, not a curated record.